AGCUCUCCGGGUAGUGUGGAUGUUUAUUGGGCCUAAAGCAUCCGUAGCUUGCUAUGCAAGUCCCUUGUUAAAUCCACCGAUUUAAUCGUUGGAUUGCGGGGGAUACUGUUUGGCUAGGGGACGGGAGAGGCCGACGGUAUUUCCGGGGUAGGGGUGAAAUCCUAUAAUCCCGGGAGGACCACCAGUGGCGAAGGCUGUCGGCUAGAACGCGCCCGACGGUGAGGGAUGAAAGCUGGGGGAGCGAACCGGAUUAGAUACCCGAGUAGUCC
Molecule: ribosomal RNA, 269 nt
Filed under: uncultured archaeon
Lineage: Archaea
Description: partial 16S ribosomal RNA
Rfam family: Archaeal small subunit ribosomal RNA
Source: RNAcentral